RNAcentral lists this ribosomal RNA (254 nucleotides) under uncultured bacterium. Its description in RNAcentral is "partial 16S ribosomal RNA". It matches the Rfam family "Bacterial small subunit ribosomal RNA", at positions 524 to 776 of the family's 1533-position model. The record is from RNAcentral.
UACGUAGGGAGCGAGCGUUGUCCGGAUUUAUUGGGCGUAAAGAGCUUGUAGGCGGUUCAGCAAGUCGGGUGUGAAAACUCUGAGCUCAACCCAGAGACGCCACCCGAUACUGCUGUGACUUGAGUCUGGUAGGGGAUCGCGGAAUUCCAGGUGUAGCGGUGAAAUGCACAGAUAUCUGGAGGAACACCAGCAGCGAAGGCGGCGAUCUGGGCCAGUACUGACGCUGAGGCGCGAAAGCUAGGGGAGCAAACGGG